Molecule: long non-coding RNA, 1832 nt
Organism: Oryctolagus cuniculus (rabbit)
Lineage: Eukaryota; Metazoa; Chordata; Mammalia; Lagomorpha; Leporidae
Source: Ensembl
AUGAGAAAUGUACUGGAAAAAAAUGUAAUGCACUUAUGCGUGAGUGACACCAGUAAGGCCUUGGUUCCUAGGAGAUAUCCCUUCUUUAAUCCAAGUUUGAAUAAUAAGAUCAACUCCUUUAUUUCCAUCACAUUCCAUAUUCUUUGGGAACGGAAGAGCACACGUGAGGCCGUAGGUUGGAGUCUUUUCCACGAGGUGGCAAGGGAGCUAGGGGCAGUGUUACCUGUGAGGGCUGUGGCGGAAAGACAGCGGAUCAGACAGACACACCUGAGCAGAGUCCACAGCGGAAAGAAGCCCUCCGCUUCCCGUCCUUUUAUAUGGAACUGGGUGGUACACCAAUUGGGUACGCGAAUAGGGCGGGUCUUAGCAUGAGCCCUGGCCUCAGAUGGUGUAGGUGCAUCCUGGGAAGGCAGAUGUAGCAAUUCAACAGUUAGAGAUAGCUUUACAUUGCAAGGGCCCAAGAAUUCCAGCUUGCCUAAACUUUAACUUUCUACUUAUUUAUCCCCCAGUAACACAUAUGGUAAUGUCAGAAAAUUUUGUGUCUCUGGUCACAGAAGGAUGCACUAGAUAAUCUCUAAGUUUCCUCAAGAUUUAUAGAAUUUGACGUUCUGUGAUUUGCCCCACUAACAGCAAGCGCAUGAAGUACUGAUUACUUCUUUUUCUUUUUUUUUUUUAAGAUUAUUUAUUUAUUUAUUUGAGAGGUAGAGUUACAGACAGUGAGAAGUAGAGACAGAGAGGUCUUCCAUCUUCUGGUUCACUCCCCAGAUGGCCUCAAUGGCCGGCCGGAACCAGGAGUUUCUUCCUGGUCUCCCACAUGGCAGCAGGGGCCCAAGCACUUGGGCCAUCUUCCACUGCUUUCCCAGGCGACAGCAGAGAGCUGGAUUGGAAGAGGAGCAGCUGGAACUAGAACUGGCGCCCAUGUGGGAUGCCGGCACCACAGGCAGAGGAUUAACCUAUUGUGCCAUGGCGCGGCCCAGAAGUACUGAUUACUUCUAUGCUGAACCCCUAAUCCAGGCAGAGAAAUUCUGUUGCAGAUAAAAGACCCAGGAAGCCUCACCAGGUUUGGUCAACUAGUGGAUGGGCACGGUAGCGUCUCCCAUUCCUGGCACCCCAGGAGACCACACAAAACCAGUUGGAAUUUCACAUAGACUUAGAAUCAAAGCUUCAUUUCACUGAGGUCUGGCAAGGUAAAAUAUUUCCUCCCAUCAAAUUAACAGUUACUAGUAGACUCUGGCUCUAACCAGGGUUUUCAUCUCCUAGAAAGAGCUUGCUGCAACAGAAUUAAGGAUUCAAAUAUUUAACAGUUAAAAGGCUGAGAUGCAGGUAAUGAAGAAGAAAUCUAAAGGAAAUAAGGAUGCGUUUAGAGCUUCAUCUUUCUGGUUUGAAUGUGGUAGAAGUUAUCACCAAGUUUUUGAGUGCCACUAUAGUUGUAGUAUUUAGGAAGGCUAGUUGGAAAAUAAGUGGGGUUAAGCUGCCGCUUGCAGUGCUGGCAUCCCAUAUGGGUACCAGUUCGAGACCUGGCUGCUCCAUUUCCAAUCCAGCUCUCUGCUAUGGCCUGGGAAAGCAGUAGAAGAUGGCCCAAGUCCUUGGGCCCCUGCACCCACGUGGGAGACCUGGAGGAAGCUCCUGGCUCCUGGCUUCAGAUUGGCGCAGCUCCGGCUAUUGCAGCCAUCUGGGGAGUAAAUCAGCAGAUGGAAGACCUCUCUCUUUCUCUUUUUCUCUCUCUCCUCCUCUCUCUCUCUUUCUCUCUCUCUCUCUCUCUGCCUCUCCUUCUCUCUCUGUGUAACUGACUUUCAAAUAAAUAAAUAAAUCUUUUAAAAAAAGAAAGAAAA